Molecule: long non-coding RNA, 283 nt
Filed under: Elaeis guineensis (African oil palm)
Lineage: Eukaryota; Viridiplantae; Streptophyta; Magnoliopsida; Arecales; Arecaceae
Description: long non-coding RNA (EGUI_LNC047042)
Source: RNAcentral
CUCCAGAACUUUCUCUGUUUCCGUGGCUCUAUUUAUAGACUGUGCCGAUCCUCCUUCAUUGUAGAUAUGGGUGCGGACGCGGCUCGGAUGUUAGCCAAGAGUCUUAAAGCCCACAAGAGGGAAGGCGCUGCAACUUUCGGGUCAGUGAAGAAGGCGAGGGUAGAAGAGACAGAUCCGACCGUAUUUUGCCUUGAUCGCCCAGAGCCCGCUUGUGGCACAUCUUCGACCGCGAGUGCUUCCCGAUCCUACGGAAGGGGGAAGCCGAAGGGGGACUGGAAGAAGA